CGGCUCAGUAACACGUGGACAACCUACCCUAUGGAGGGGGGAUAACCCCGGGAAACUGGGGAUAAUACCCCAUAGACUAUAGAUGCUGGAAUGCUUUGUAGUUGAAAGGUCCGCCGCCAUAGGAUGGGUCUGCGGCCGAUUAGGUUGUUGUUGGGGUAACGGCCCAACAAGCCUGUAAUCGGUACGGGUUGUGGGAGCAAGAGCCCGGAGAUGGAUUCUGAGACACGAAUCCAGGCCCUACGGGGCGCAGCAGGCGCGAAAACUUUACAAUGCGGGAAACCGUGAUAAGGGAGCUCCGAGUGCCCGUAAAAUCGGGCUGUCCAUCUGUUUAAAUAACAGGUGAAGAAAGGGCCGGGCAAGACCGGUGCCAGCCGCCGCGGUAAUACCGGCGGCUCGAGUGGUGGCCACUAUUACUGGGCUUAAAGCGUUCGUAGCUGGUCUGUUAAGUCUCUGGGGAAAUCUACUGGCUUAACCAAUAGGCGUCUCAGGGAUACUGGCAGACUAGGGACCGGGAGAGGUGAGAGGUACUCCAGGGGUAGGAGUGAAAUCCUGUAAUCCUUGGGGGACCACCAGUGGCGAAGGCGUCUCACCAGAACGGCUCCGACAGU
RNAcentral lists this ribosomal RNA (608 nucleotides) under uncultured Methanoregula sp. RNAcentral's name for it is "bacterial SSU rRNA". It matches the Rfam family "Archaeal small subunit ribosomal RNA", at positions 83 to 698 of the family's 1478-position model. The record is from RNAcentral. Lineage: Archaea; Methanobacteriati; Methanobacteriota; Methanomicrobia; Methanomicrobiales; Methanoregulaceae.